AAAAAUUUGUUUGCAAAGAUACAUCAUCCCAAAAAUAGAGAUAAAUAGUUCAUAUGGCGGGCCGGACAAAAUCUGUCCGCGGGCCGUAGUUUGGAGACCCCUGAUUUAAUGUUUUACACAAUCACUUUUUUUGAAUGGUGCAUUUUUUCUUUCAUUUUAGAAAUUUUUUGAUUAUUUUGCAACUCUUCUUUCUGACUGUAAUCAACAAUGCAUAGCUACUGUGCAUUGUAGCUGUGUAUAAUUUUCCUCAAACCCAUUGUCUCUCAUCUGAUCUAUUAUGAAAUCAAACAAAUGAUUAAUCUAUGGAAAAUAUUCUUUAUUCCCUUAUUGUCCUAUAUAUAAUCUAUAUUAGGUCAAGACAAUAUGAGGAUGAAAAAAUUUUCUAUUCGUUUUUCUGAAUUUCCUUUACAUUCAAAUGAGCAUUAUAAAGCCAUGUAUUAUUAUGGUGAAAAAUAACUCAUCUUCCCUAAUGUUUUUCGCUAGAGGCAUGACAAAGCUUCUGGAUGGUUUUAAUCUAUUGAUUGGCAUUAAUGAUUUCACUAGGCAUCAAAAAUUUACAAGAAUGGAACAUUCCAUAUCCUAAAAGAGUCCCCAUAAUUUUGGAAGUUGAAGUCAUAAAUUUUUGUUUCUGGAUAAUAUUGAGUGAUGCCAUUUCAUGUUUUAGGUUCAAAAUGAUAAAACCAACUUUCAUUAACUGUAAUAAUAUUGAACAGAAAAUUUCAUCUUUGACAAAAAACCUUUAAAGAAGUUUGUGAAAAGUCAUUUUUGCAUUGAGUUUUUGACAGUAAUUGAGUCUCAAUUGAUACAAAUUUUACAGUAUCUCAGAUUUCUUGCUAUCAGUUUGACCUGCACAAUGUCCUAUUUUUGCAGUCAACAGAUAACUUUGCUGCAGUUUCUUUCAUUGGCAUACUAGACUCUCUUUGAUACAGGGUUGGGGAGCUGGAGCUAGAGUCAGAGCCCGGAGCCAUGGAACCAGGGAGUUUUGGAGGAGCUAGAGCUAAUCUGAUCAUAUUCAGUGCAGCCAGAGCCAGAGCCAUUA
RNAcentral lists this long non-coding RNA (1039 nucleotides) under Androctonus crassicauda. Lineage: Eukaryota; Metazoa; Arthropoda; Arachnida; Scorpiones; Buthidae. The record is from RNAcentral.